GCCAGACUCCUACGGGAGGCAGCAGUGGGGGAUAUUGCACAAUGGGGGGAACCCUGAUGCAGCGACGCCGCGUGGGUGAAGGAGCGUUUCGGCGCGUAAAGCCCUAUCGGCAGGGAAGAAGGAGGACGGUACCUGACUAAGAAGCCCCGGCUAACUACGUGCCAGCAGCCGCGGUAAUACGUAGGGGGCAAGCGUUAUCCGGAUUUACUGGGUGUAAAGGGGGCGCAGACGGCAAUGCAAGCCAGGAGUGAAAGCCCGGGGCCCAACCCCGGGACUGCUCUUGGAACUGCGCGGCUGGAGUGCAGGAGGGGCAGGCGGAAUUCCUGGUGUAGCGGUGAAAUGCGUAGAUAUCAGGAGGAACACCGGUGGCGAAGGCGGCCUGCUGGACUGCGACUGACGUUGAGGCCCGAAAGCGUGGGGAGCAAACAGGAUUAGAUACCCCGGUAG
This 447-nucleotide ribosomal RNA is filed under the name uncultured bacterium. RNAcentral's name for it is "partial 16S ribosomal RNA". It matches the Rfam family "Bacterial small subunit ribosomal RNA", at positions 330 to 793 of the family's 1533-position model. The record is from RNAcentral.